UACAGAGGGUGCGAGCGUUAAUCGGAAUUACUGGGCGUAAAGGGUGCGUAGGCGGGUCUUUAAGUCAGGGGUGAAAUCCUGGAGCUCAACUCCAGAACUGCCUUUGAUACUGAAGAUCUUGAGUGCGGGAGAGGUGAGUGGAACUGCGAGUGUAGAGGUGAAAUUCGUAGAUAUUCGCAAGAACACCAGUGGCGAAGGCGGCUCACUGGCCCGAUACUGACGCUGAGGCACGAAAGCGUGGGGAGCAAACAGG
This 253-nucleotide ribosomal RNA is filed under the name uncultured bacterium. RNAcentral describes it as "partial 16S ribosomal RNA". It matches the Rfam family "Bacterial small subunit ribosomal RNA", at positions 524 to 776 of the family's 1533-position model. The record is from RNAcentral.